AGGAAGCAGCAGCCUCCGCUCCGCGGCGGGUGUGCUCGGCAGUCACAGACCCACUCAGGACACCUCCCGUUGCCGACGGGCUAGACCUGCCUUAAAGGGGUCCCCGUGUCUCUCCAGUCUAGAGCCUAAGUUCAAACGAGGCGUAUAGGCGAGGACAGCAGGAAGGCUCCAAGUCAAACAAACGGAUGGGAAGUGGUCUUGGGAAACCUGAAGACACUGGGAUAUUCAGAAGGCCAAGGGGAUCCAGCUUAUCCUGUUGGGCAAGGUGCUGGGAGUGAAGGCAGGAACUACCAAAGCCACGGAUCAGCUGAGUUACCCGGGCUAAUAGCAGGAGGAAACAGUGUCAGAGAGGGAUCUGGCUGAUCUUCAACUCCACUAAGUUCUCCCCAAGGUAUAGCCAUCCUUAUCAUCAAACCCUCUUUUCUGGUAUUCUCUCAAUCCAGUCUUUCAUACUCUAUUCCCCCACCAUGUAAUCUGCAUCCUUUCAUUUUUCUUUUCCACUUCCCUUACCACUGAUCCCAUCAUUACCAUAUUUUCCUCAUACCUUCUUCCCCUCGAAGUCGCUCAGCCUGUCCACGCUCAAUCAAAGCCUCAGCCUCCUUCACAAAUGCCACUAAACCCCCAAAAGGGGGAGACAGCAACUCUUCAAUGAAUUCCUGGAAAGACACAAACACAUAUACACAGGUGUCCUGGUGUCAGCAGAUUUGCCCAAUUCUGGCAUCAUGACUAAUGUAGAUCCAUCUGAAUGGCAUCUUUCAGCUGCUGCAAAAGUUAAGGAAAAUCCUCUAUGGAGAAAAAUAUCCUCAAUCCUAAUUUUGGCCCAUACAGUUCCCCUGGUUAAGAUCAAACAAUGAACUCAAAGAUCACUAGACACAAAAGAAGGGCAGCUACCAAGAGAGUCAGCAGACACAAUAAGCAAUAGCUGCUGACCUUAAGAACUAUCCGAUACGGAUAGCAGUUGUACUGUGUGCAAUGUCUAAAGUUAAGGAUAGGCCGGGCACAGUGGCUCACGCCUGUAAUCCCAGCACUUUGGGAGGCUGAGGUGGGCAGAUCACCUGAGGUCAGGAGUUCAAGACCAGCCUGGCCAACAUGAUGAAACCCCAUCUCUACUAAAAAUACAAAAAUUAGCUGGGCAUGAUGGUGGAUGCCUAUAAUCCCAGCUACUCGGGAGACUGAGGCAAGAGAAUCACUUGAACUUGGGAGGCGGAGGUUGCAGUGAGCAGAGAUCAUGCCACUGCACUCCAGCCUGGAUGACAGAGCAAGACUCCGUCUCAAAAAAAAAAAAAAAAAAAAAGGAUGUAAAAAUGACCAAUUAGUAAGAACUAUGAGGAAUGAACAGACUUGAAAAAAGGAAAUUUUUUUAGAUAUGAAAAGCCAGUUUUAGAAAGUCAACAGAUUAACAAGAAUUAUACAAUGAAUUAGAAUUUAUAACUGAAGAAAGGACUCAGAAUGUAGCACAGACAGAAGAUGGAAAAUUUUGAGAUAGUAGGAGAUACAGAAAUCUAAUUAAUGUAUCUAGGCACUGAAAUUGAUGGCUACUAACAUCACAAAGAGAGCCAAGAAGACAUUAUGUGCUUCCUGAUGGAAAUACAUACCACUACCUCUCAAAUAUCCCUGUAGAAAAAAAAAAACUAAUUUAAAUCUGACCAAGCCUUUCCAUCUAAUUACACACUUAUGAGAAAUACACCAGACAGAGGAAGUUUGGCCACACCAUGGAAUGCAGUCAGCAAAAUCUAAACUGUACAUCAUUCUAGAUGACAAAUGACUCAAUAACUCAGUUUCUUCCAAAAAUAAAUUGCAGAGGAGAUGGAAGGGAAAUCUAUAGACUAAAAAAAGACACAUAUAUGGACUUUAUAUGGAUCCUGAUUUGAACCAUAAAAAUCAUUUAUGAAGGCCAGGCACAGUGGCUCAUGCCUGUAAUCCCAGCAUUUUGGGAGGCUGAGGCGGGUAGAUCACCUGAGGUCAGGAGUUUGAGACCAGCCUGGCCAACAUGGUGAAAUCCUGUCUCUACUAAAAAUACAAAAAUUAGCUGGGCGUGGUGGUGGGUGUCUAUAAUCCCAGCUACUCAGGAGACUGAGGCAGGAGAAUUGCUUGAACCCGGGAGGCAGAUGUUGGAGUGUGCCAAGAUCGGGCCAUUGCACUCCAGCCUGGAGGCAACAAGAGUGAAACUGUGUCUCAAAAAAAAAAAAAAAAAAAUCACUUAUGAAAUAACUGGGAAAAUCUGAAUAGUUAUUUUAGAUAAGAUAAUUUUUUUAAGUGUGAUAAUGUAUUGUAGUUUUUAAAACCAUCUGUUACCAGGUGUGGUGGCACACACCUGUAGUCCCAGUUACUUAGGAGGCUGAGGUGGGAGGAUCACUUGAGCCCAGGAGUUCGAGGCUGCAGGGAGUUAUAUCAUGCUACUACACUCCAGCCUGGGCACUACAGCAAGGCCCUAUCUCAAAAAUAAUUUUCUUAAUAAAAAUAACAUUCUGAUACAGAUGAAGUGAUAAUAUUCAUCUGUAUAUGUAUAAGAUUUAAUUCAAAGUAACUGGGGGACACAGAAGGAGGAUAAGCAAUAGGUGUUGGUAUAGAUGAAACAAAACUGUCCGUGAACUGCUAUACACCGAAUAUCACUGAUGAUGCCUGGGGGUUCACUAUGCUUUUCUAAUAGCAUAGUGAAAUUUCCCAUAAUAAAAUGUUAAUUUUUGUUUAAUGUAAAAGGGAGAUUCAAACAAAAAAACUCAUAAAAGCAAACAACCCAGACAGAAAGAUCUGGUAAGAAGAAAGUGAAAUUAUUAUUCCAUUUAAAAAUAAAUUAUUAAUACUAAAAUUAGCCAGGUGUGGUGGUGCAUGCCUGUAACCCCAGCUACUCAGGGAGACUGAAGCAGAAGAAUCACUUGAACCGGGAGGCAGAGGUUGUAGUGAGCCAAGAUCAUGUCACUGCACUCCAGCCUGGGCGACAGAGCAGCAACUUGUCUCAGUAAAUAAAUAAAUAAAUAAAUAAAUAAAAAUUGUAUCUUUUCUAUUCUUCCCUCAAAAUAUUCACUUAUAUCCACUGAGGGUGUCAAAUAACUAAUAUGCUGCAAGGAAGGAUCUUUCUAUAAUCAAGGCAUCUUUGUGAUGUGAUUUUGGACAGAGAUUAAAUAACCAAAUUCAACCUAUUACAGUUGCCUAAAUGCAGUCUCACACACACAUAUACAAACAAUAAUGUAGCAGUGUACGGUGGGGCACAGGGAGUAGACUUGCCAAAGAAAAGUUGAACUAACAGUGAUGACCCCUGCUAGGCAGGAGCCAUAAAUUAUAUAAUGUGUUGUAAGCAUGAUAUAUACACCUGAUUUUGAAGACUUCAUCUUAGAAUAAAUUUUAAGUAUAUCUUUUUUUUCUUUUUUUUUUUCGGAAACAGGGUCUUGCUCCAUCACCCACGCUGGAGUGC
This 3412-nucleotide long non-coding RNA is filed under the name Homo sapiens (human). RNAcentral's name for it is "HSALNT0333805". The record is from RNAcentral. Lineage: Eukaryota; Metazoa; Chordata; Mammalia; Primates; Hominidae.